GACGAACGCUGGCGGCGUGCUUAACACAUGCAAGUCGAACGGUAAGGCCCUUCGGGGUACACGAGUGGCGAACGGGUGAGUAACACGUGGGUGAUCUGCCCUGCACUUCGGGAUAAGCCUGGGAAACUGGGUCUAAUACCGGAUAGGACCACUGCCUGCAUGGGUGGUGGUGGAAAGCUUUUGCGGUGUGGGAUGGGCGCGCGGCCUAUCAGCUUGUUGGUGGGGUGAUGGCCUACCUAGGCGAGGACGGGUGGCCGGCCUGGGAGGGUGACCGGCCACACUGGGACUGGGAUACGGGACAGACUCCUACGAGAGGCAGCGGUGGGGAAUAUUGCGCAAUGGGCGGAAGCCAGAUGCGGCGAGACGGCGUGAGGGAUGACGGCUUUCGGGUUGUAAACCGCUUUAAGCACCGACGAAGCGCAAGUGACAGUAGGUGCAGAAGAAGGACCGGCCAACUACGUGCCAGCAGCCGCCGUAA
This 478-nucleotide ribosomal RNA is filed under the name uncultured bacterium. RNAcentral's name for it is "partial 16S ribosomal RNA". It matches the Rfam family "Bacterial small subunit ribosomal RNA", at positions 28 to 523 of the family's 1533-position model. The record is from RNAcentral.